RNAcentral lists this non-coding RNA (149 nucleotides) under Clostridium sp. RNAcentral's name for it is "FMN sequence". It matches the Rfam family "FMN riboswitch aptamer (RFN element)". From Rfam's summary of the family: The RFN element is a highly conserved domain that is found frequently in the 5'-untranslated regions of prokaryotic mRNAs that encode for flavin mononucleotide (FMN) biosynthesis and transport proteins. This element is a metabolite-dependent riboswitch that directly binds FMN in the absence of proteins. Lineage: Bacteria; Bacillati; Bacillota; Clostridia; Eubacteriales; Clostridiaceae. The record is from RNAcentral. RNAcentral also lists the same sequence under 1 other name.
AUAAAGCUUCGGGGCGGGGUGCGAUUCCCCACCGGCGGUGACAGUCCGCGAACCGGCUGUGCAAAAGAGUGCGCAGGCGGCCGACCCGGUGAAAUUCCGGGACCGACGGUAAGGCCGAAUGGGUCGAGUCCGGAUGAGAGAAGCGGCAA